RNA transcript from Ictalurus furcatus (blue catfish), 1658 nucleotides. It is a transcript of the gene named 26S proteasome non-ATPase regulatory subunit 6-like, with no coding region annotated. The transcript has 6 exons. NCBI's taxonomy places the organism in Eukaryota, Metazoa, Chordata, Actinopteri, Siluriformes, Ictaluridae. The record is from RefSeq and is a predicted model, not a curated record.
AUGUGGAUGCUUAAUGAGGCACUUAAAGUUGACCUGAGGAUCGCGCAGCUGAAGUUUUUGCUGACUCUCGAUGACCACAGACAGGACGCUGAAGUGAAGACCGAGCUCAUGGAGGCGAUCCGGACGAACAACAUGGCUCCUUACUACGAGACCUUAUGUAAAGAGCUGGAGUGGCCCGUGGACUCGGACCUGCUGAGCAAAUGAAGAAGGCCAAUGAGGACGAGCUGAAGCGUCUGGACGUGGUCCUGGAGGACGCUGAGAAGAACCAGGGCGAGAGCGAGAUCCGGGACACCAUGAUGGCCAAAGCAGAGUAUCUGAUUAGGAUUGGAGACAAGGAAGGAGCUCUGACUGCCUUUAGGAAAACCUAUGACAAAACCGUAGCCCUGGGCCACCGAUUAGACAUCGUCUUCUACCUGCUGAGGAUCGGGCUGUUUUACAUGGACAGCGAUCUCAUCACGCGCAACACCGAGAAAGCCAAGAGUCUGAUCGAAGAGGGCGGAGCCUGGGACCGCAGGAACCGUCUGAAGGUGUAUCAGGGCCUGUACUGCGUCGACAUCAGAGACUUCAAGCAGGUCGCCGAGCUUUUCCUCGACACCGUGUCCACCUUCACCUCGUAUGAGCUCAUGGACUACAAGACUUUUGUCACAUACACCGUCUACGUGUGCAUGAUAGCGCUGAAGAGGCCGGACCUCAGGGAGAAGUGGAGCCUAUCCCCGGGAAGUCGAGGCACAAGGCAGGCGACACCCUGGAGACAAUUUGGAAAUGCCAGUCAACAUAAAGCACAUGUCUGAGGGAACCGGAGUACCCGGAGGAAACCCUCGAAGCUCCGGGAGAACGUGCAUGCUCAGAACCCUGGAGGUGCGAGCCAAAGGUGCAAACCACUAUGGGAAAUAGCAUGAUGGUCUGCAAAUCAUAACCCAAUAUCCUAAACCCCUGGACAUGGACAUUUCACAGCUCAACAUGCAACCUAUAGAAACAUGUACAGGUAUGCCAUUAGCUAGCUGAGUGACCUAGACUAGCUAGCCAGAUUUUUUGAUGUUUUGCAGUAGCCUAUGAACGCUCUGUUUAUUCUUAAGAUGUCACUUCCAUGUUAGUAGCGAUGUUAUAAAGUCUGUUGUCUUUAAUAUAUCUAAGAUACCUACAGGUAACUCUCAGGAUAAUGUGCAAGGGGCAUCUUUCCUAGAUGCCCCUUGUUAGAUUCCUAGAUUCCUAGAUUCCUAUGUAGCUAAAAACAUGUAUGAAUUAGCUAGCUAAUGAACCUAGCAUAGAUAGCUAAUGAAUCUAGCAAGCUAUUGAAACCCCAACAGCUAGGCAGAUAACAUUACCUUUCUUUAUAUACUGUUGAUAGUUGAGGUGGUGUUCAAGCCAGUAUUGCUCACGUGGUUAAUUUACACAAAAACAAACAGGAAAUGGAACAUUUUUCAGAUUUAGCCGUGUCAAAUGCGGAUGUAAUGUAAUUUGUAAAGUAAUUAUUCAAAUACUCCAGGACCAGAAGACUUAUUUCCUCUUUCUUGAGUAAUUUUCUAGAUCACUACUUUUACAUAAGUGAAUUAUUACCACCGUAGAUGUACUCUUUUUUCAAAUAAGUGUCAUUUGUAUCUUUUCUUAAAUUUAUUUAAUUUGUAUGAAACUGAAUAAAAUCCAACCACAUUCCCCUA